UUUGGUAUAUUAUCAGAGAGUAUAUCUCCAAUUUAGAGGUAUAUUUGAUGAGAUAAUUAUUGUGUUCUGCUUGGAACUUGUUUGUUAGAGCUAUUGUGUUUUACUGUUGUUAAGUUCUUGAAGGGGAAAUUGGCAUGAAUUUAUUGUAAAUUUUUAUUUAUUAUUGGUUUAUUAGUAUAUAUUAUCCUCUUAAAUGUGAAUGUACCCAAGGG
Molecule: long non-coding RNA, 212 nt
Filed under: Gossypium barbadense (sea-island cotton)
Lineage: Eukaryota; Viridiplantae; Streptophyta; Magnoliopsida; Malvales; Malvaceae
Description: long non-coding RNA (GBAR_LNC019090)
Source: RNAcentral